AUUGAACGCUGGCGGAAUGCUUAACACAUGCAAGUCGAGCGAGCUGUAGCAAUACAGCUAGCGGCGGACGGGUGAGGAAUACAUAGGAAUCUGCCUCAGAGCGGGGGAUAGCCCGGGGAAACUCGGAGUAAUACCGCAUGAUGUCGCAAGACCAAAGUGGGGGACCGCAAGGCCCCACACUCUGAGAUGAGCCUAUGUCGGAUUAGCUAGUUGGCGGGGUAAUGGCCCACCAAGGCGAAGAUCAGUAGCUGGUCUGAGGGGACGAUCAGCCACAACGGAACUGAGACACGGGCCGGACUCCUAAGGGAGGCAGCAGGGGGGAAUAUUGGACAAUGGGCGCAAGCCUGAUCCAGCAAUUCCGCGUGGGUGAAGAAGGCCUUCGGGUUUUAAAGCCCUUUAAGUUGGGACAAAAAAAUCGGCGAUAACAUCGCCGGUCUUGAUGGUACCGACAGAAUAAGCAACGGCUAACUCUGUGCCAGCAGCCGCAGUAA
This 491-nucleotide ribosomal RNA is filed under the name uncultured bacterium. RNAcentral's name for it is "partial 16S ribosomal RNA". It matches the Rfam family "Bacterial small subunit ribosomal RNA", at positions 29 to 523 of the family's 1533-position model. The record is from RNAcentral.